CUGAUAGAUGCUACAUCAGAAGAUCAGCAGCACAGGUGACAGGGGAAGCUCUGGGACUUUAAGCUGCGUAUCAGGCCAGAAAAAUGCACAGAAAAGCUCAGGGUAGGUUGGAAGGAUUGUGUCCCUUUGUAUAAUUUCUGUUACUUUUUCUCAUCUGCUCUUGGGUAGCCUGUCUUGGGAAAAUGUACCUUGAAGAAGAAUGGAGCAGGACUUUGUAAAAAAAAAAAAAAAAAAAGCCUGGCUAUGCAGAGAACAAGGCUAAAAGAAGGUCUGUGGUCUAGGAGAUGAAAGUAUGACCUCAUGGGCCCACAUUCUUGGAGGAAGUUGGAGGUAUUUCCCUGAGAUCUUCCUGCAGAGCCUCUCCAGGGGCAUGUCUAUCAUGAUGGCAGGAACCUGAAUCAGCUGGUCCCAGGACAUCUGCAGUCAGGAAGGACAGACUGGAAGUUCCUGUUCAAUUCUCCUUUGCAAUUAUCCCAAGACUCCAGCCAAUGGUAUUGAGAAAGAAAAAAUAAAGCAUUCGCAAGACCGAUGGUUGCAUACCAGAUACCAGGAGAUGUAUUCAUUUGCCUCGUAUGGCUGGAUUUUGUACAUACCUGCAGCCUAAAAGGGUAUUUGGCUUUCUGGUUUAUCAGGUGGGACAUGCUGGUCUGCACAACACCUUGGGAACCAGUAGCUGAGGAGCUGGCUCUCUGCUGAGACUGGUGCUCAGGUGACACUCUGAGCCCAUAUCUUCAGAUUUAUCAGAAAGCCAAGGAAGGGCUUUCCAGAGCGAGCCUGGGUGGAGUUCUUUCCCAAGGGCUGGCUGGCACUCAGGGAAGAAGCAAGAACUUGAUUCACGGGAUGCUCUCUGCCCUCCUCCACUCUGACAGCUACCACAAGGACCAAAGUGUGCCUCUUGAUCCUACAAUGUGAGGAAUGUUCCAGAGCCAGAUAGGCAUGAAGCCAUCCACUGAGAGGCAGGGUGGAGCUGCUCCCCAGGCCAAGGCUUGACAGCUCAUGAGCUCUGUGGAAGCAGGUGGCUGCCCACCCCACUCUCCUACCUCCCUACUGUUGCCUGGAUACACAAAGUUGUGCGGCACAGAGAGCCAGCUCUUCCAUCUGUGGUCUUGGAAUGCUGGGAGCUGAGACAAGGCCUAUUCAUUCUCUCCUCGAGCCUUCCUUGGAGGAUUCACUACUGAUGCUAUCCAGACCUGAGGAGAGUGCCACACAGGUGGAGUCUCAGAUCUGGCCACACCUUGGUGAAUUGCUCUUGUUUCCUAUUCUUCCACUGUAGACUAACCAGUUGGAUGACUCUCUCUGCUCUUAUGUGUCCCCUCCGCCCCACUCUUAUUUAUAGCCCUUGGUGGUUAAUUUCUUGUGUGAUUUGAAUCCAAGUAACUGUGCACUACUCUGAAAUAUUCUUCAGUUAAACGGGAAUCUUGGGAACACUUCGUUGUGAAAGUCAUAAGAGCCUUUGCGGGGAGUUGAUGUUCUGUCAAGAGUCAGGGCUCAAAACUCUUUCUCCGGACUCACACUUCCAGGUAGGAUUCCCAUACCACACAGGCAGAUUCUGUUCCUACACUGUCUCAGGGAGUGGCCUGUAGGUUGGCAGUUGCCACACAGGGCCUCAGAGAUGCUGUGCGUCUUCAGCAUAUCUUUAGAAGGUGGAAGAAGGUUUUCUAACUAUCUAACCUUUUUUUGAUUAAGCAGUAACCCUUCCAGCCUUCAGGCAUUUUGGCAAGAGCCAUUUCUAGCUUCCUGGCUUCACACAAGCCCAGGGGGACUGUCACCAUCUGAGGGGAAGUAGAAGAUUCAGUUCCUGCUCAGAGGACCACCGGGCUCCCAACGCAUCCUUUCCCAGUUGUGUAGAGGCUUUGACAUUUGCCUUUGUUUCUGACUCCUAGGAUUUUCCCUUUCUUUCUUUAAAGCUAAAUAUAUUAACCUACAUCUUUCACAUUUCACCCUACCUUGGCCUUGAGUGAUUCAGUUUGCUGCCUGACUGGCUCAUCUGGGCCACAGAGGGCUUUGUGUAGAGGCUUUUAGAUCCUCGCCACUACGGCUCCAUCCUCAACUGCUUACACAGGGCAGCCUUUGUUGCAUCCUGCUUCAAGGUGGUGUCACUGUGUGAGUCUGCCUUGACUUUUUGAGCCUUCUCCACCUGUGAGGAGAGAGUGGCAGGCAUGCUGCGUGUGAUGAAGUGAGGUUUAAGUACAAACCAGCGUCUGGCUCACACAGCCCAAUCAAUGACUAUUGAGCCAGUCCUCUGAGCUCCAAGCUACUUCUUUUAAAACUUGCUCUGAGCUGGGCACGGUGGCACACACCAUGAAUCCCAGCAUUGAGGAGGCAGAGGCAGACUGAUCUCUGUGAGUUCGAGGCCAGCCUGGUCUCCAGAGUGAGUUCCAAGACAGCCAGAGCUUCACUGAGAAACCCUGCCUUUAACAAAACAGAACAGAAAACAAACAGCAACCAAAAUGGCCCUGAGCUAAAAACAACAAAAACAGCAACAAUUAGAUUUUCAGUCUGGAAAGGGCUUUAAAAAUUUUGUUUUCUGGACUGGAUGCUUUCUGAAAUCGUGAGGGUUCUUUCUGUCUGCAUCUCUCUGCAAUAGGAAGUGAGCAUGAGCUAAACUAGAGACUCUGUAGCCUGGGUGUGAUAGCCUGUGCAUCAUCACGAAUUUCUUCCACACCAGGAUACCCCUUCAAGCCCUGCUCCCCAUCCUUCAGCUAUGAUAUCUUUCCCCCUAAUGACUCACAAUGAAGGUGUGGCAGAAUCAGUUCUCAGUAGCACCCAAGCUUCCCCUUGUGUCUUAGUGCCUCAACGCUUUGUCACCUGUCCCUAGGUGUUUCCUGGAACCACCUAGUGGGCUUUGAUUUAAGCUCUAGGUGCAGGCCAGUGGUGGUCUACUUAAUUAGUGUGUAGGAGAACACGGGCUUAAUCCCUAGUGCCACAUAGGUCAAAAGGCAAAACAAAACAAAAACAAAGAGAAUAAAUGUAUAAUAAGUUUCCUUCCUUAACUAUAUGUAUAUGUUAACCAUAUGUGUAUGUUGACCUCUGUCAGCUCUAUAAUAGAAGCGGGGGACCUGUUACAGAAGGCUUUGUUUUCCGCUAUGACUCUCUCAUUCUCUAUUCAGGCCUAAAGAAAAGAUUUAGACAAGCUUUGUUUCCUGUUACCUGGGCUGUGAAAAGGACCAAUUUUACACGCAACAACAACCACCAUUGGACUAUGAAUACAAAGCUAAAAUUGCAAAAAAUUGCAAAACGCUAUCUUCAUACAAACAUUGCUGUCAUGGAUUCUCUGAAGCCGACGAUGGAGUCUCUGUGGUGCUGAAUGGGUCUGUAGAGGGCUGACAUCAAAACACUUGAAACC
Long non-coding RNA from Mus musculus (house mouse), 3346 nucleotides. RefSeq annotates it as predicted gene, 35720. NCBI's taxonomy places the organism in Eukaryota, Metazoa, Chordata, Mammalia, Rodentia, Muridae. The record is from RefSeq and is a predicted model, not a curated record. The transcript has 5 exons.